CCAACGGCAGCCUGCUGGCCACCACCUGUAAGGACCGCAAGAUUCGGAUUGUUGACCCCCGACUAGGGAUUGUCCUCCAGGUUUGUGCUGGGCCGAGGUUCCAGGGAUACUUUGGGAAUGGGGUGACAGACAGCAUUGUCAGCAGCUGGGCUCAGCCUCUGGAGGCAGCCUCCCUAGCUGGCCUCAGCAUCAUGGGAGAGGGGGGUGUUGAGAUAUGCUGUGUCCACUCUACAGAUGAGAAAACUAAGGCCAGAGAAAGGAAAUGAUUAGCCUGUGUAGAGAGGUGGGCUGUGAACCUGUUCUGACCUCAGAGCUGGUCAUGUGCCUCUUCUCUGUCACUGGCCAAGGGUCAGGGGCCGCCUUAGGCCGGUACUUUCUGCUUUCUGAGCCUGUGCUCAGAAGCUGCAGUGGACCACUCAUCCUUCCUCAUUGAAGUUGAAUAGGACAAUUCGAGUGCCAGUACAUAGCCACGCCCUCCUGCCUGGCUCAGGGCAAGUGCUCACUGUGGAGCAGGGUAUGAUGGCACAUGUUGUAAUCUUGAGACAGGAGGAGUGAGGGUUCAAGGCCAGCCUGGGCUAGAUCACAAGGCCCUGUGUCGAGAAAAGAGCGGAGAGGGGAGAGGUUUGCCCAACUCUAUUCAGAAGCGCUCGGUAGAAUGAGAGAUUUCACUUGAGGACAGGAAGAACCUAUGACAGCAAGGUUGCAGCAGGAGCCAAGU
This 718-nucleotide long non-coding RNA is filed under the name Rattus norvegicus (Norway rat). Its description in RNAcentral is "long non-coding RNA NONRATT023224". The record is from RNAcentral. Lineage: Eukaryota; Metazoa; Chordata; Mammalia; Rodentia; Muridae.